CUCAAUGGCUUCUUUGGUUCUUUUGUUAUCUGGGCUUCUUCGACAUGAAAAUCUUGACAACAUAAUGCCAUUUCCUUCUGCUCCGCCGUCUUGUGCCAACAAAGUGGUGGUGAAGAGAUCUGCAGGAAGUUUGGCAAACAAGUGCAAAAAUGUGCAAUAUCAAAUUCAAGAAGAUCUACCUAGGGUCUGUGUAGACCUAGUUUGGUCUUAGGCGACUAAUUUCUAGUAUUUUUUUCCAUUUUUUCUUUCUGUUUUCCUUUAUUUUCUCAAUUAUAGUUUCUCACUGCAAAAUUCCAUUGUUGUAUGAGUAUUGAAGCUCUUACAGGCUUUAACUUUAUACAGAAGUUGCAAUAAACUCAC
This 360-nucleotide long non-coding RNA is filed under the name Olea europaea (common olive). RNAcentral's name for it is "long non-coding RNA (OEUR_LNC002177)". The record is from RNAcentral. Lineage: Eukaryota; Viridiplantae; Streptophyta; Magnoliopsida; Lamiales; Oleaceae.